This 490-nucleotide ribosomal RNA is filed under the name uncultured bacterium. RNAcentral describes it as "partial 16S ribosomal RNA". It matches the Rfam family "Bacterial small subunit ribosomal RNA", at positions 30 to 507 of the family's 1533-position model. The record is from RNAcentral.
AUUGAACGCUGGCGGCAGGCCUAACACAUGCAAGUCGAACGGUAACAGGAAGAAGCUUGCUUCUUUGCUGACGAGUGGCGGACGGGUGAGUAAUGUCUGGGAAACUGCCUGAUGGAGGGGGAUAACUACUGGAAGCGGUAGCUAAUACCGCAUAACGUCGCAAGACCAAAGAGGGGGACCUUCGGGCCUCUUGCCAUCGGAUGUGCCCAGUUGGGAUUAGCUAGUAGGUGGGGUAACGGCUCACCUAGGCGACGAUCCCUAGCUGGUCUGAGAGGAUGACCAGCCACACUGGAACUGAGACACGGUCCAGACUCCUACGGGAGGCAGCAGUGGGGAAUAUUGCACAAUGGGCGCAAGCCUGAUGCAGCCAUGCCGCGUGUAUGAAGAAGGCCUUCGGGUUGUAAAGUACUUUCAGCGGGGAGGAAGGGAGUAAAGUUAAUACCUUUGCUCAUUGACGUUACCCGCAGAAGAAGCACCGGCUAACUCCGUG